AAUGGGACUGAGUACCCAAGGCCCUCAUGUGAGGAGGGCCCAAAAUGAUGCUAGAAUGAAAAACAUGUGAAGAAAAGAAAC
Molecule: long non-coding RNA, 81 nt
Organism: Etheostoma spectabile (orangethroat darter)
Lineage: Eukaryota; Metazoa; Chordata; Actinopteri; Perciformes; Percidae
Exons: 4
Source: RefSeq, a predicted model, not a curated record